UACGGCAACAUCACGUUGAAACACCGGUUUUCGUACGAUCAGCUAAGUUAAGCAACGUCGAGACUGGUCAUUACCUAGAUGAGUGACUGUUUGGGAAUACCAGGUGCUGUAA
Non-coding RNA from Acanthosepion pharaonis, 112 nucleotides. Lineage: Eukaryota; Metazoa; Mollusca; Cephalopoda; Sepiida; Sepiidae. The record is from the annotation of a GenBank genome assembly.